RNAcentral lists this ribosomal RNA (429 nucleotides) under Pseudomonadota bacterium. RNAcentral describes it as "Proteobacteria bacterium partial 16S ribosomal RNA". It matches the Rfam family "Bacterial small subunit ribosomal RNA", at positions 355 to 776 of the family's 1533-position model. Lineage: Bacteria; Pseudomonadati; Pseudomonadota. The record is from RNAcentral.
UGGGGAAUAUUGGACAAUGGGCGAAAGCCUGAUCCAGCCAUGCCGCGUGUGUGAUGAAGGUCUUCGGAUUGUAAAGCACUUUAAGUUGGGAGGAAGGGCAGUAAGCGAAUACCUUGCUGUUUUGACGUUACCGACAGAAUAAGCACCGGCUAACUCUGUGCCAGCAGCCGCGGUAAUACAGAGGGUGCAAGCGUUAAUCGGAAUUACUGGGCGUAAAGCGCGCGUCGGUGGUUCGUUAAGUUGAAUGUGAAAGCCCCGGGCUCAACCUGGGAACGGCAGCCAAAACUGGCGAGCUAGAGUAGGGCAGAGGGUGGUGGAAUUUCCUGUGUAGCGGUGAAAUGCGUAGAUAUAGGAAGGAACACCAGUGGCGAAGGCGACCACCUGGGCUCAUACUGACACUGAGGUGCGAAAGCGUGGGGAGCAAACAGG